RNAcentral lists this ribosomal RNA (1372 nucleotides) under uncultured bacterium. RNAcentral's name for it is "bacterial SSU rRNA". It matches the Rfam family "Bacterial small subunit ribosomal RNA", at positions 28 to 1381 of the family's 1533-position model. The record is from RNAcentral.
GAUGAACGCUGGCGGCGUGCCUAAUACAUGCAAGUCGAGCGAACAGACAAGGAGCUUGCUCCUUUGACGUUAGCGGCGGACGGGUGAGUAACACGUGGGUAACCUACCUAUAAGACUGGGAUAACUUCGGGAAACCGGAGCUAAUACCGGAUAAUAUUUCGAACCGCAUGGUUCGAUAGUGAAAGAUGGUUUUGCUAUCACUUAUAGAUGGACCCGCGCCGUAUUAGCUAGUUGGUAAGGUAACGGCUUACCAAGGCGACGAUACGUAGCCGACCUGAGAGGGUGAUCGGCCACACUGGAACUGAGACACGGUCCAGACUCCUACGGGAGGCAGCAGUAGGGAAUCUUCCGCAAUGGGCGAAAGCCUGACGGAGCAACGCCGCGUGAGUGAUGAAGGUCUUCGGAUCGUAAAACUCUGUUAUUAGGGAAGAACAUACGUGUAAGUAACUAUGCACGUCUUGACGGUACCUAAUCAGAAAGCCACGGCUAACUACGUGCCAGCAGCCGCGGUAAUACGUAGGUGGCAAGCGUUAUCCGGAAUUAUUGGGCGUAAAGCGCGCGUAGGCGGUUUUUUAAGUCUGAUGUGAAAGCCCACGGCUCAACCGUGGAGGGUCAUUGGAAACUGGAAAACUUGAGUGCAGAAGAGGAAAGUGGAAUUCCAUGUGUAGCGGUGAAAUGCGCAGAGAUAUGGAGGAACACCAGUGGCGAAGGCGACUUUCUGGUCUGUAACUGACGCUGAUGUGCGAAAGCGUGGGGAUCAAACAGGAUUAGAUACCCUGGUAGUCCACGCCGUAAACGAUGAGUGCUAAGUGUUAGGGGGUUUCCGCCCCUUAGUGCUGCAGCUAACGCAUUAAGCACUCCGCCUGGGGAGUACGACCGCAAGGUUGAAACUCAAAGGAAUUGACGGGGACCCGCACAAGCGGUGGAGCAUGUGGUUUAAUUCGAAGCGACGCGAAGAACCUUACCAAAUCUUGACAUCCUUUGACAACUCUAGAGAUAGAGCCUUCCCCUUCGGGGGACAAAGUGACAGGUGGUGCAUGGUUGUCGUCAGCUCGUGUCGUGAGAUGUUGGGUUAAGUCCCGCAACGAGCGCAACCCUUAAGCUUAGUUGCCAUCAUUAAGUUGGGCACUCUAAGUUGACUGCCGGUGACAAACCGGAGGAGGGUGGGGAUGACGUCAAAUCAUCAUGCCCCUUAUGAUUUGGGCUACACACGUGCUACAAUGGACAAUACAAAGGGCAGCGAAACCGCGAGGUCAAGCAAAUCCCAUAAAGUUGUUCUCAGUUCGGAUUGUAGUCUGCAACUCGACUACAUGAAGCUGGAAUCGCUAGUAAUCGUAGAUCAGCAUGCUACGGUGAAUACGUUCCCGGGUCU